Molecule: ribosomal RNA, 253 nt
Filed under: uncultured bacterium
Lineage: Bacteria
Description: partial 16S ribosomal RNA
Rfam family: Bacterial small subunit ribosomal RNA
Source: RNAcentral
UACAGAGGGCGCGAGCGUUAAUCGGAAUUACUGGGCGUAAAGCGUGCGUAGACGGCUAUCUAAGUCGGGUGUGAAAGCCCCGGGCUCAACCUGGGAAUUGCAUUCGAGACUGAAUAGCUAGGGUACGGUAGAGGGAAGUGGAAUUUCCGGUGUAGCGGUGAAAUGCGUAGAUAUCGGAAGGAACAUCAGUGGCGAAAGCGACUUCCUGGACCAGUACCGACGUUCAGGCACGAAAGCGUGGGGAGCAAACAGG